ACUCAAAGGAAUUGACGGGGACUCGCACAAGCGGUGGAUCAUGCGGCUUAAUUCGUCGCUAAACGAAGAACCUUACCCAGGCUAGAAACCAAGCUGCACGCCUCCAGAAACGGAGGAAGCCUUCGAGGGUGCUUGGCAGGUGAUGCAUGGUUGUCGUCAGUUCGUGGCUUGAGCUGUUCCCUUCAGUGGGGUAACGAACGCAACCCUCGUUGUCUGUUAUAUAUGUCAGGCGAGACUGCCCCCUCACGGGGGAGGAAGGUGAGGAUGACGCCAAAUCAGCAUGUCCCUUGAUGCCUGGGGCUGCACGCAUGAUACAAUGGGUGGUACAGAAGGACGCAAUACCGCAAGGUGGAGCAAAUCCCAAAAACCAUCCCCAGUACGGAUUGAGGUCUGCAACCGACCUCAUGAAGCCGGAAUCGCUAGUAAUCCUGGGUCAGCUAUACCAGGGUGAAUACGUUCUCGAGUCUUGCACACACCGCCCGU
This 483-nucleotide ribosomal RNA is filed under the name uncultured bacterium. RNAcentral describes it as "partial 16S ribosomal RNA". It matches the Rfam family "Bacterial small subunit ribosomal RNA", at positions 899 to 1397 of the family's 1533-position model. The record is from RNAcentral.